GUGGGGAAUCUUAGACAAUGGGGGCAACCCUGAUCUAGCCAUGCCGCGUGAGUGAUGAAGGCCUUAGGGUCGUAAAGCUCUUUCGCUGGGGAAGAUAAUGACGGUACCCAGUAAAGAAACCCCGGCUAACUCCGUGCCAGCAGCCGCGGUAAUACGGAGGGGGUUAGCGUUGUUCGGAAUUACUGGGCGUAAAGCGCGCGUAGGCGGAUUGGAAAGUUGGGGGUGAAAUCCCGGGGCUCAACCCUGGAAUGGCCUUCAAAACUCCCAGUCUUGAGGUCGAGAGAGGUAAGUGGAAUUCCGAGUGUAGAGGUGAAAUUCGUAGAUAUUCGGAGGAACACCAGUGGCGAAGGCGGCUCACUGGCUCGAUACUGACGCUGAGGUGCGAAAGCGUGGGGAGCAAACAGGAUUAGAAACCCCUGUAGUCC
Molecule: ribosomal RNA, 425 nt
Filed under: uncultured bacterium
Lineage: Bacteria
Description: bacterial SSU rRNA
Rfam family: Bacterial small subunit ribosomal RNA
Source: RNAcentral